RNAcentral lists this ribosomal RNA (378 nucleotides) under uncultured eukaryote. RNAcentral's name for it is "partial 18S ribosomal RNA". It matches the Rfam family "Eukaryotic small subunit ribosomal RNA", at positions 592 to 975 of the family's 1831-position model. The record is from RNAcentral.
CAAUAGCGUAUAUUUAAGUUGUUGCAGUUAAAAAGCUCGUAGUUGGAUUUCGGAUGGGACUUGCCGGUCCGUCGUUUCGAUGUGCACUGGCCAGUCCUAUCUUGUUGUCGGGGACUAGCUCCUGGGCUUCACUGUCCGGGACUAGGAGCUGACGAGGUUACUUUGAGUAAAUUAGAGUGUUCAAAGCAAGCCUACGCUCUGAAUACAUUAGCAUGGAAUAACACGAUAGGACUCUGGCUUAUCUUGUUGGUCUGUGAGACCAGAGUAAUGAUUAAGAGGGACAGUCGGGGGCAUUCGUAUUUCAUUGUCAGAGGUGAAAUUCUUGGAUUUAUGAAAGACGAACUUCUGCGAAAGCAUUUGUCAAGGAUGUUUUCAUUG